AGCAUCUGAGAUCUUGGUGGCUCAGAGUGUCUGUGUGAGUAGUUUUCAUUGUUAUCAUUUAUAAUAUACCAUCAGUAACC
This 80-nucleotide small nucleolar RNA is filed under the name Cricetulus griseus (Chinese hamster). Its description in RNAcentral is "Small nucleolar RNA SNORD24". Lineage: Eukaryota; Metazoa; Chordata; Mammalia; Rodentia; Cricetidae. The record is from RNAcentral.